RNAcentral lists this long non-coding RNA (210 nucleotides) under Oryza brachyantha (malo sina). RNAcentral's name for it is "long non-coding RNA (OBRA_LNC003592)". The record is from RNAcentral. Lineage: Eukaryota; Viridiplantae; Streptophyta; Magnoliopsida; Poales; Poaceae.
CGCCGCUCACGGCAUGACGAUCUGCCUCAGCUUUUCGAUGAACGAAAGUGCCGAUGUUAGCUUUGGCCAAGGAUCAAAUGCACGUGAGCAACACACUCACAAAGCAACAAGCACACACACUAACUCUCUGGAGAUAAAUACACAGAAGUACACACACAAGUUUCUCUCGGCAACGAAUGCCUAUACUCUUCUUUAUCUGUGACUCACACA